Molecule: long non-coding RNA, 2704 nt
Organism: Leopardus geoffroyi (Geoffroy's cat)
Lineage: Eukaryota; Metazoa; Chordata; Mammalia; Carnivora; Felidae
Exons: 2
Source: RefSeq, a predicted model, not a curated record
UCUCUUUCAAAAGUAAUAAACAUUAAAUAAACAAAUAAUAAAUAAAAGUAAAAAAAUAAAUUCAAGAUCUGGGAGAUCUUUUGCAGUAUCCUUUUAUACUAUUCUUUGAUUAUUCCACAUCGUGAGCAUUCCUCCUGCUGUAGGCCCUCUUUUCUUCUCAAUAUGUGCCCUCUCCUUUGGAAAUUCCAUCUGCCCCUAUGGCCUCAAUUCUCAUUUCAGCAGCCUGACUACUCAGGCUAGACAUAAGACUCUGCUAAUGGUCCAUUAACAAGUCUUUGCUUCCUUAAAGACCUGAUGGUCUACUGUUGGCAACUUUCUGGAGUUUAAAACUAUAUUGCACCUUCCUGGCUGGUUCCAAUCCAUUUUUAUGGUUUUACUGCCUACUGUUACCAUAUCUGUGCACUCCAUUCUAUAUAAACUUGAUUCCUUACCUUUGUGGCGGAUGCCUUUGCUUAUGCUUUCCUUUGGUGUGAAAUGGCUUUACCCAGUUGUAUCUAUUAAGGUUUUUCUUAACUCCUUGCUGAUUGGUCCCAAAUUUUUUACAUUUAUGGGGAUAAUGUAUAACUCAUAAUACACCAGUAAAAUGAAGACAUUAACAACUGUGGUAGGCAAAUUCUAAGAUGGUACCUAAGAUUUCUGAUCUCUGGUGUACAUACCCUACAUAAUCUCCUCCCCUUGAAUGUGGGCAGGACCUACAAUAUGACGGAUGUCACUUGUAUGACCAAGUUAUGUUAAUGGCAAAGGUAAAGAGACUUUGCAGAUGUAAUUAAAGCCCUUAAUCAGUUUGAUUUUGAGUUCAUCAAAAGACAGAAUAUCCUUUGGUGGGCUUGUUACAAUCAGGUGUGCUUGACACAAGAGGGCUUAGGUUUUCCUCAGAUCAGAGAGCUUCUCCUGCUAGGCUUGAAGAAGCAAGCUGCUAUGAGUUCUACAACUACAAGAAAAUGAAUUCUGCCAACAACUACUUGAGCUUGGAAGAGGGCCCCCACACCUCAGACAAGACAGAAAUCUUGGUUGACUUCUUGAUUGUAGACUUGUGAGAUCUUGAUUGUAGACUUGUGAGAUCUUGUACCCAGACUUCUGACCCACAGAAUAUGUGAGAUAAUAAAUGGGUGUUGUUCUAAGUCACAGAGCUCAUGGUAGUUUGGUACAUAGCAAUAGAAAAGUAACACAGACUUAAUAAACUGGUUAAUAAGUAUCAUCAGUUCAUAGUAUUUAGGGUUUGUUACAGCAUAAGAAAACUUGAAAUGUAAUGAAAUCUUACAGUACACAGUGACUUAAUAGAUGUUUUACAAAAUUUGACUAUAGUCCUAAAAAUUUAUGUAGCAUUAUCACAAUGCACUGUGAAUUAAAAUUUGUGUGUGUGUGUGUGUGUGUGUGUGUGUGUGUGUGUGAUCAACCAUGCUGGGAGUAAAGACUGAAUUAUCUUUAUUUUUACUAUAUAGGAAAUAUUGCAAAUUUAUUGUCAAAUGAAGAAACAACUAAAAAGUAUGGAGUCAAAAGAAAAAGAAACAAAAAGUAUUAAAUAAAUGUAUGAGGGAAAUACGCAGUUUUCUAGAUUUUAUGAUAUUUGUGGCCUUUGUUUAAUAAAAUUUGUAAUUUGUUGUGAUUUUCUUUCUCAUUCUAAAAAAUUAUUUUGUGCCCGAUUUUUUAUUCAAAAUUUUCUGUUCUUUUAUAAAAAUCCCCCAUUUUAUAAGUUUCAGGGCCUGCAAAACAUAAAUCUUCUGGACACAACCAUAAUGCUUUGAAAUUCACCUAUAGACAGACAGUCAGGAACAAGUCGGAAAGGUUCACAAAAAAAUGUGAAUGUCUCCUUAGCUUUGUUUCGCCCCUAGAGGGCACUGUUGCCUAAAUUCAAAAUGGCUUUUCUGUAAAAGAUCAGAAUAAGCUCCCAAAAACCUUCUGUCCUUACACUUUAAAGAGGUGUUCUGUCGGCAUUUUUUAGACAGUGACAUAUAAAGAAUCUCAGACAACAGGGGCAGUUUUGCCCGGAGAACAUCUCUUCCUAACAGUCCUGAAGAAAAAGGGAUCUAAAUCUAUCAUUCCUCCUCAACCUCAGAGCAAUCUGGAUUCAAGUCCCCUCAGUCAUCAGAUUUUAUUUGUGUGUGAGGAACUUCCCAGAAAGAAAACUCUCUGGUUCUUCACUGCUUGGCCAUGACCUUGGUGUUCAUCUUGACGCUUGGGGUGCUUCUGUUCCUGAGAGGAACUGGAGCCCAGUCGCUGACCCAACCUGACGGCCACAUCACUGUCUCUGAAGGAGCCCGUCUGGAGCUGAGUUGCAACUAUUCCGCUAGUGGAACUACUUAUCUCUUCUGGUAUGUGCAGCACCCCAACCAAGGACUCCAGCUUCUCCUCAAGUACUUUGCAGGGCCAUCAGAUGCCCUAGUUCAAGGCAUCAAAGGUUUCGAGGCUGAAUUUAAGAAGAGUGAGAAGGCCUUCCACCUGAGGAAACACUCAGCCCAUUGGAGCGACUCGGCCAAGUACUUCUGUGCUGUGAGUGACACAGCGCCUGGGACUACAGGGGGAGCUGAACACAAACCUUCUGAGACACUGUAACUUAAAGGACUCAGGGUCUCAGGCUGAGUUGUUUUCAGGAAGUUGACAUGUUCUGUAAAAGAACAUGUUCCCCUGCCUGUUUUUAUAUUAUUUUUGUUUCCCUUCCCUUAUGUUCAUCUGUUUUGUCUCUUAAAGUCCUCAUAUGAGUGAA